AUACGGGAGGCAGCAGUGGGGAAUAUUGCACAAUGGGCGAAAGCCUGAUGCAGCAACGCCGCGUGAGUGAUGAAGGCCUUCGGGUUGUAAAGCUCUGUCUUCUGGGACGAUAAUGACGGUACCAGAGGAGGAAGCCACGGCUAACUACGUGCCAGCAGCCGCGGUAAUACGUAGGUGGCAAGCGUUGUCCGGAUUUACUGGGCGUAAAGGAUGCGUAGGCGGAUACUUAAGUCAGAUGUGAAAAUCCCGGGCUUAACUUGGGAACUGCAUUUGAAACUGGGUAUCUAGAGUGCGGGAGAGGAAAGUGGAAUUCCUAGUGUAGCGGUGAAAUGCGUAGAGAUUAGGAAGAACACCAGUGGCGAAGGCGACUUUCUGGACCGUAACUGACGCUGAGGCAUGAAAGCGUGGGGAGCAAACAGGAUUAGAUACCCUUGUAGUCAU
RNAcentral lists this ribosomal RNA (441 nucleotides) under uncultured bacterium. RNAcentral's name for it is "bacterial SSU rRNA". It matches the Rfam family "Bacterial small subunit ribosomal RNA", at positions 339 to 797 of the family's 1533-position model. The record is from RNAcentral.